Molecule: non-coding RNA, 45 nt
Organism: Schistosoma margrebowiei
Lineage: Eukaryota; Metazoa; Platyhelminthes; Trematoda; Strigeidida; Schistosomatidae
Source: Rfam
AUCAAGCUGAUGGGUCCCAAAUAGGACGAAACGCGCAUCCUGGAU